This 476-nucleotide ribosomal RNA is filed under the name uncultured bacterium. RNAcentral's name for it is "bacterial SSU rRNA". It matches the Rfam family "Bacterial small subunit ribosomal RNA", at positions 1 to 487 of the family's 1533-position model. The record is from RNAcentral.
UUAGAGUUUGAUCCUGGCUCAGAAUCAACGCUGGCGGCGUGCCUAACACAUGCAAGUCGAACGCGAAAGUCCCGCAAGGGAUUAGUAGAGUGGCAAACGGGUGAGUAACACGUGGGUGACCUGCCUUCGAGCGGGGGAUAACAUCCCGAAAGGGAUGCUAAUACCGCAUGACAUCCUGCCUUUGAAUAGGUGGAGAUCAAAGCUGGGGAUCGCAAGACCUGGCACUCGAAGAGGGGCCCGCGCCCGAUUAGCUAGUUGGUGAGGUAACGGCUCACCAAGGCUUCGAUCGGUAGCCGGCCUGAGAGGGCACACGGCCACACUGGCACUGAAACACGGGCCAGACUCCUACGGGAGGCAGCAGUGGGGAAUCUUGCACAAUGGGGGCAACCCUGAUGCAGCGACGCCGCGUGAGCGAUGAAGCCCUUCGGGGUGUAAAGCUCUUUCGGCAGGAACGAUUAUGACGGUACCUGCAGAAG